CAUUUAUUGACAGCACGGCCCUACCACUGACUGAGUAUUAAAAAUCGUCUGGCGUUGGACAGGGUAAAUACUAAAGUCAUUACUGUGCUGAUGGAUUAACAAGAGCCUUUGGCAGAUAGGUUUGUUAACCAAUUUACUGGCAGUACCCUGUACCACUGACGAGUAAAAUAUUCUGGCGCUGGACAUGGGACUGGCGCAUUGCCAGCUAAUGGGUUAAACCACCGUGGUUAAACAUAAGAUUUGAUGCUCCAGGAAAUGUAAACAAACUAUCAGUGUGACAUCCCAGUUUAUAUAUUUAUAUACUCGGAAUAUUGAUUUCUCGGUAAAUACAAAAUUAUUUUAAAGUAUAACAACCAGCGAAGACGUAAGCCACUAACUACCCUGCGCGGCUGCGCGCAGACUAUAUAAUGACAUAUAUAUGUUAUCC
Non-coding RNA from Paramuricea clavata, 427 nucleotides. The record is from the annotation of a GenBank genome assembly. NCBI's taxonomy places the organism in Eukaryota, Metazoa, Cnidaria, Anthozoa, Malacalcyonacea, Plexauridae.